GCAUCUCCUGUGCGUGGAAAGAACUUCGGUCAAGGAUGGACUCGCGGCCUAUCAGGUAGUUGGUGAGGUAACGGCUCACCAAGCCUACGACGGGUAGCCGGCCUGAGAGGGUGACCGGCCACACUGGGACUGAGACACGGCCCAGACUCCUACGGGAGGCAGCAGUGGGGAAUAUUGCACAAUGGGCGCAAGCCUGAUGCAGCAACGCCGCGUGAGGGACGACGGCCUUCGGGUUGUAAACCUCUUUUAGCAGGGAAGAAGCGAAAGUGACGGUACCUGCAGAAAAAGCACCGGCUAACUACGUGCCAGCAGCCGCGGUAAUACGUAGGGUGCGAGCGUUGUCCGGAAUUAUUGGGCGUAAAGAGCUCGUAGGCGGUCUGUCGCGUCUGCUGUGAAAACCCGAGGCUCAACCUCGGGCCUGCAGUGGGUACGGGCAGACUAGAGUGCGGUAGGGGAGAAUGGAAUUCCUGGUGUAGCGGUGGAAUGCGCAGAUAUCAGGAGGAACACCGAUGGCGAAGGCAGUUCUCUGGGCCGUAACUGACGCUGAGGAGCGAAAGCGUGGGGAGCGAACAGGAUUAGAUACCCUGGUAGUCCACGCCGUAAACGUUGGGCGCUAGAUGUGGGGACCAUUCCACGGUUUCCGUGUCGCAGCU
RNAcentral lists this ribosomal RNA (653 nucleotides) under Cryocola sp. Its description in RNAcentral is "bacterial SSU rRNA". It matches the Rfam family "Bacterial small subunit ribosomal RNA", at positions 186 to 853 of the family's 1533-position model. Lineage: Bacteria; Bacillati; Actinomycetota; Actinomycetes; Micrococcales; Microbacteriaceae. The record is from RNAcentral.